This 1299-nucleotide long non-coding RNA is filed under the name Oryzias javanicus (javanese ricefish). RNAcentral's name for it is "lncRNA (ENSOJAG00000006767.1)". The record is from RNAcentral. Lineage: Eukaryota; Metazoa; Chordata; Actinopteri; Beloniformes; Adrianichthyidae.
GCACUGACUGGGACGUUUUCAGGACUGCUACCAACAGUCUGGACGAGUAUACAGAGGCUGUGACGUCAUACAUCAGCUUCUGUGAAGAUUGCUGUGUCCCAUCAUGCACCAGGGUGAGUUAUAACAAUGACAAACCCUGGUUCACAGCCAAACUCAGACGGCUAAGGCGGGCUAAGGAGGAGGCCUUCAGGAGUGGGGAUAAAGACAGAUUCAGAGAGGCAAAAUACAAGUUUAGUAAAGCGGUGAGAGAGGCUAAACAAUUGUAUUCUGAGAAGUUACAACACCAGUUCUCAGCCAAUGACUCUGCAACUGUCUGGAGGGGGCUCAGGCAGAUCACCAACUACAAACCUAAAGCCCUCCACUCCAUCAACGACCGACACCUCGCCAACGCUCUUAACGAGUUUUACUGUCGGUUUGACAGACAAAGGGACAGUUCUGCCACCACCCAUCAGCUCCAGUCACCUACUUCAAUUUCCACCCUAACAGCUCCAUCCCCUCCAGUAACGACUCUUUCCAUCCAUGAAAGAGACGUAAACAAACUCUUCAAGAGACAGAAUCCCCGGAAAGCAGCUGGACCGGAUUCUGUCUCCCCGUCUACCUUGAAGCACUGUGCUGAUCAGCUGUCUCCAGUCUUCACAGCCAUUUUUAACACCUCACUGGAGACCUGUCACGUGCCAGCCUGCUUCAAGUCUUCAACCAUCAUCCCUGUCCCCAAGAAGCCGAGGACCACAGGACUGAAUGACUUCAGACCCGUCGCCCUGACCUCUGUGGUCAUGAAGACCUUUGAACGCCUCGUGCUUUCACACCUCAAAGCCAUGACAGACCCUCUUCUGGAUCCCCUGCAGUUUGCCUACAGAGCCAACAGGUCAGUUGACGACGCCGUCAAUCUGGGCCUUCACUUCAUCCUCCAGCAUCUGGACUCUGCAGGGACCUAUGCCAGGAUCCUGUUUGUGGAUUUCAGCUCUGCCUUUAACACCAUCAUCCCGUCUCUGCUUCAGGAGAAGCUUUCCAUGCUGAACGUUCCUGGCUCCAUCUGCAGGUGGAUCACAGACUUCCUGUCUGACAGGAAACAGUGUGUGAAGCUGGGGAAACAGAUCUCGGACUCACAGACCAUCAGCACUGGAUCUCCUCAGGGCUGUGUUCUUUCUCCUCUGCUCUUCUCCCUGUACACUAACAGCUGCACCUCCAGUCACCCGUCUGUCAAACUCCUGAAGUUUGCAGACGAUACCACCCUAAUCGGCCUCAUCUCUGAUGGCGACGAGUCUGCGUACAGGUGUGAGGUCGACCGUCUGGUAACCU